Toxorhynchites rutilus septentrionalis is the source of this 1896-nucleotide long non-coding RNA. RefSeq lists it as uncharacterized. The transcript has 3 exons. Lineage: Eukaryota; Metazoa; Arthropoda; Insecta; Diptera; Culicidae. The record is from RefSeq and is a predicted model, not a curated record.
UUUAAAAGUACGUUAAUUUCUUCUGCAAACCCAUAUUGUCAUGCCUACUCCCCCCUUUCGUAAUACGAAGCUCAAUGCCGUCAACGCGGGUAGCAUGUGUAACCUUCAGUAUUUUCAUUUCUAGCUAUUGUGUGUGUGCAACCGCCAUUUCUCUAAUGGAAGCGAAGCGAUUCGGAGGUAAACAUUCGGUUUUUAUUAUGAUUCAUUUUACCUAAAUAUGUUCCUUUUCAGCUUAAAAUAGUAGAAACCAUAGCAAAGGUUUCACGCAGCCGUAAGCGUUUAGAUAAACUAAACAUCAGAGGCCAAAAACGGCGGAUGUCGCCGUGCACAAUUGAUUAAUGAUUCGAUUAUUUAUGAUAAUUCGUCUUAUUCUAUUAUCCGCAGAAUGCGACCAACAGGAGCAAUGGUCCGCCUCUCGAUCGAUUUGUUGUUCCAGGAAACGAUGGAUAUCAGGUGGGUCAAUCGUAUCGUCAGCAGCGAGGAAACCAACAACAACCGUUUCACGCUGAGCAAUCAACAGCUAAAAAGACUACCAGCACCGAUUCGAACCACAUCGACUUGGAUGAGAAGCAGCAGCAACAGCGCAGAUUGUCGGUGUUCUUCCAGUCAUAUACUGUCUGCAGCAAAAACUCCACUAGCUGAAGAACGAUAUGCUACGGCGAAAGGUUCACAAUUUCAAACUCAUCAUCACGACAACAUUAUUUCUACAGCAGUACUUGGCGACCGCACCCAGCGAAAACCAUCACAAUCACCUAUAGCAGCCCACUAAUCCUUCCAUCCAAGGAUCGGAGGGAAAGCGAUAUGUGUCCUAUUUGCCACACAAUUUCCUCCACAAAUCACGACUUCACGUAGCUCAACAACAGAAAAUCCGCGUCUGAGGAUGAUGGAAGAGUCAGUUUACGUGGUAAAUUUGCUCCCAGGCAAUUCGUUGUUGGAUCGGUACAUGCUGCCUCCGCUCGAAUUUGGAGCGUCACAUCAAGCAGUAACAUCGUAUUGUCAGCGCGGAGGCAAUCAUUAGAAGCGCGGCUGGAGCAUUCGAUCUGCAAUCAAGCAAUCCGCCAAAGGAAGGAGGUAGACAAAGCAGAUUUGAUGGUCUGAUAUCACAAGAUGGAAACGACGAUCAGGUGCUGCUGACUUCCAGCUCGGCGUCCGGGAGUGACAACUCCGACACAGAUCCAAAUCCAUCGUCGACACAGCCGACACAGAAGAAAAAAAACGUCUAAAGCCUAGCGCCAAAUCGAGUCAAUUGCCCCUACUGGCAUGUUCCCCUCGGACAACAACAUCAGCAUACGAUCGGAAAACAACAGUCCACUGCAGAAGACUGCAAUCUCGUCGAACGUAUUGCCCGUGACAGAUUCCACCACGAAGAAGUAUUUUUCCGAUAUCGAACUCUAAGGGAGAGAUAUUGGAAAAUCAAAAAUAAUCACAUCCAAUGUGCAGCGGUUCUAAGCUAACAUGUGGCUGAGAGGAGAAUUUCUUAUCAAAUUUAAAGAACAAGUACUACCAAUUUUGAUCCACAAUGAUCAAUUUGCAUGUGGCUAAACUGAGAGAUUUUUUCACUAUGCAGCUUCCAUUGGGAUUUCCAGUAAAAAUAGAAAUAACGCUGUUUCAUGUGUUGAACGCGGUUAUCAUAUUUGGCAACGUAUUCGAAUAAGAGACACCCGUGACCAGUGUGAGGCACAUCAAAGAAAGCGAAGAGCGUACGACAUGCAUUAUCGAGGUUUACUGUUUCGAUGUCCCGUUCGAGUACGUACGACGUGGUGCCGAUUUCCGGCGUCAAGUCAUCUUCGAAGAUGAGAACGAAUUGAUGCAAUUUGCGAUCCAGCAAAAUUUCCGAGUGUCCGAAAAAGCACACUUUUGAGUACUGUGAUACCCAACUCGCUCGCUGAAAAGCUG